CUUGGUCAUUUAGAGGAAGUAAAAGUCGUAACAAGGUCUCCGUUGGUGAACCAGCGGAGGGAUCAUUACCGAGUUUACACUCAUAACCCUUUGUGAACAUUAUAACUUGUUGCUUCGGCGGCUUCUUCGGGAGCCCGCCGGCGUUUCAGUAUCUCUGUUUGUACCCGACGAUACAUCUGAGUGUUCUUAGCGAACUAUAAAAACUUUUAACAACGGAUCUCUUGGUUCUAGCAUCGAUGAAGAACGCAGCCCCCCCGUGCCCCCGCCCCGCCCGCCGCGCGCGGCGA
This 287-nucleotide ribosomal RNA is filed under the name uncultured fungus. RNAcentral describes it as "partial 18S ribosomal RNA". The stretch from base 1 to 68 matches the Rfam family "Eukaryotic small subunit ribosomal RNA", at positions 1764 to 1831 of the family's 1831-position model. Lineage: Eukaryota; Fungi. The record is from RNAcentral.